UACGGAGGGUGCAAGCGUUGCUCGGAAUUAUUGGGCGUAAAGGGUAGGUAGGUGGUCUCAUUUGUCUGGGGUGAAAGCCUUGAGCUUAACUCAAGAAGUGCCCCAGAAACGGUGAGACUAGAGUCUUGGAGAGGGUCGUGGAAUUCCCGGUGUAGCGGUGAAAUGCGCAGAUAUCAGGAGGAACACCUAUGGCGAAGGCGGCUCUCUGGAACGCAACUGACGCUGAGACGCGAAAGCGUGGGGAGCAAACAGG
RNAcentral lists this ribosomal RNA (253 nucleotides) under uncultured bacterium. RNAcentral's name for it is "partial 16S ribosomal RNA". It matches the Rfam family "Bacterial small subunit ribosomal RNA", at positions 524 to 776 of the family's 1533-position model. The record is from RNAcentral.